CUGGGAGGCCAGCAUGACUUGGCCUCUGUGAUGCCUAGUUUCUGUGCCGGCAGACUGGACACAGAAGAGCCCAUGGAAUGGGAGGUUAGCGGGACCCAGCCCCCUGGUCUAGCCGUUGGACAGGCAGGCUGGGGAGCCGGCGACAUGGCCAAAGCUCUGGAACGCCUAGUCAUCAGAUGGUGACUCCCUGCAGAGCUACCAAGCCAUCACCCAAUGUCCUCAGGAGCUUGAGAGGGGCCGUGGCAGCCCAGACCUGCACCUGUUGCUGCUCCUCCAGGAGCGUUUCUCUGGCCUCACGCUGGCCAUCUAGGCUCACAACACCGCCGUCGCUCAGUGUGAGAGUGGCAGAGUUGAUGGGCUGAGGAGGCUCAAGCUGAAUGCUGUCCCAACGCGUCGUCACACCACCAACGUUUCCUGGCAGACCAACCAAGCGGAGAAGGACGGCAAUAAUGUACGGCUCUGAGCCCAGGGCGCCCCCUGCUGUCUCUCCCAGGAAAAUGCAGCUCAGCCUGGAUGCGCAGGAACCCUUGACCCUCUCGCAGAACUCCAACGCUUCCUCCACAGACGCGAGUCAGGACUCUGACAGUGUGUAUGUAGAUUAUGGAACCCAUGGACUGGUAGGUCAGCAUGACUUGGCCUCUGUGGGGCCUAGUGUCUGUGCAGGCAGACUAUGACACUGAAGACCCAAUGGGCUGGGAGGACAGCGAAACCCAGCCCUGAGCCCUUUCCCACGUGCAGGCUGGCUGGGGGAUGGAGGUGAUGACUAAACCUCUGGAGCGUCGUCUAGUGAUCAGAUGGUGACACCCUUCACACCCAGAGUCCUGGGGAGCCUGAGUUUAAUCCUGAUACUGUGGACUGGCAGCCCAGCAUGGCCCCAGGCAAGAUGAAGAUGGACAAGGAGGAGCCAAUGGACUGGAAGGGCAGUAGGACCCAGCCCUGUGGGCCAGCCGUCACACAGGCACGCUAGGGAGUCAACGAGAUGGUCAAAGCAUUUGAACGCCUGGUCAUGGGAUGGUAACCUCCAGAGCUACCAAACUUGAGGUAACAUCCCCUGAAGUUAAGCCACCAAGGCUUAGUUCCAGAAGAGGCCUUGAUGGAGGACCACCCACGCUCCGUGAGGACAAGAGCCCACCCUUCGCCUGCUUUGAGCCCAGGGGAUCCAGCUUUGGUCUGUCCAUGUAGCUCCUCUGCUCACUGCUGCCACCCUUCACCUGAGUGCCAUCACAACCUUAGCGACGUCAUCCACUUUCCGAUCAUCAGUGGUUCAUCACGAAGUCCACUAUCCCAUCAGUAGGGCAAUUCACUUAGGCUUAAUA
Molecule: long non-coding RNA, 1316 nt
Organism: Sardina pilchardus (European sardine)
Lineage: Eukaryota; Metazoa; Chordata; Actinopteri; Clupeiformes; Clupeidae
Exons: 5
Source: RefSeq, a predicted model, not a curated record